UCCCUGGUGGUCCAGUGGUGAAGACACCGUGCUUCCAGUGCAGGGGGCACAGGUUCAAUCCCUGGUCAGGGAA
Non-coding RNA from Cervus elaphus (red deer), 73 nucleotides. Lineage: Eukaryota; Metazoa; Chordata; Mammalia; Artiodactyla; Cervidae. The record is from the annotation of a RefSeq genome assembly.